RNAcentral lists this long non-coding RNA (199 nucleotides) under Elaeis guineensis (African oil palm). RNAcentral's name for it is "long non-coding RNA (EGUI_LNC041112)". The record is from RNAcentral. Lineage: Eukaryota; Viridiplantae; Streptophyta; Magnoliopsida; Arecales; Arecaceae.
UCCCCUUUCUUUCUGUGUUUUAUUUUUUUCUAUGCACCUACAUGAGGGAUGUAGGUGCCUACAUCCUUAUGUAGAUGUCUCUAUUCCCUUUCUUUCUGUAUUUUAUUUCUUUCUGUAUUUUAUUUACUAAUGUAGUCUCCUUUCUUUCUGUGUUUUAUUUUUUUCUGUGUUUUAUUUACUGAUGUAGUGAUAUAGUCCC